RNAcentral lists this ribosomal RNA (393 nucleotides) under uncultured bacterium. Its description in RNAcentral is "partial 16S ribosomal RNA". It matches the Rfam family "Bacterial small subunit ribosomal RNA", at positions 523 to 918 of the family's 1533-position model. The record is from RNAcentral.
AUACGAGGGGUGCAAGCGUUGUUCGGAAUUACUGGGCGUAAAGGGAGCGUAGGCGGAGAUUCAAGCGGAUUGUACAAUCCCGGGGCCCAACCCCGGCGCUGCAGUCCGAACUGGAGCUCUUGGAUAGUUCAGGGGCAGGCGGUAUUCCUGGGGAAGCGGGGGAAUGCGUAGAGAUUAGGAAGAAAACCGAUGGCGAAGGCAGCCUGCUGGGGACUUAUCGACGCUGAUGCUCGAAAGUGCGGGUAGCAAACAGGAUUAUAUACCCUGGUAGUCCGCCCCGUAAACGAUGCAUACUGGGUGUCCGGGGGUUCCCCCGGGUACCGUAGCCAACGCGUUAAGUAUGCCGCCUGGGGAGUACGUACGCAAGUAUGAAACUUAAAGGAAUUGACGGGG